RNAcentral lists this long non-coding RNA (2191 nucleotides) under Homo sapiens (human). Its description in RNAcentral is "HSALNT0172857". Lineage: Eukaryota; Metazoa; Chordata; Mammalia; Primates; Hominidae. The record is from RNAcentral.
UAAACACCUCUCCACUUUCUUAUCAGGCACAAACUACUAAUGCCCCCUUUGGAUAGAUGUGGAAACUGAAGCUUAGAGAGGCUAUGUGACCUGCCCAAGGUGCCAGGGCUAACAAACAGAGCUGGAUUUGAAUACAGAUCUGCCUGAUUCUGAAACCCAAGCUUUUUAAAAUCACAUUGACUCAAUGUUAAGAACAGAGGUAAAGAUGCAUCUAAAUAGAUCAUGGUCAUAUAAGAACUCAGAACUUCCAACUGUUAUUCAAAAUACACAGGACACUUUAAUGCAAUCAAGUUACUUUUAAAACAUCUCAAAGAAAUUAAAGGAAAGGGGAUGGGGGACAAAUCCCAGACAGGGCAUUGGCCAGCUGUCUUAAAACUAAGUAGAAUGGGACAGGAGUUCAAUACCCCCAUAGUCUCCCUCCCUCCAACCCUCCACUAAGCUCCCAAUAUAUCUUAGGGAUGUGGGAACCUGAAUGCACAAAACAGAACCACAGUUGCCCCAGGGCAGCCAAGGGAGGCGGCUAUCUCCCAAAAACAGGCUGGCCUCAUUUUGCAGUUUGUCAAGGACUUGCCCUUAAGCUCUCUCUUUCUUGGGGUAAGAGGAAAGCGAAGGGACCUCAGGUCAAGAUUUCUACAGCCCAAGAGAAGCUCAGCUUUAGCUAAUUAGGCACCUCCAGCACACAUGUGAACAGCUAGCGCCAAUAGCUUUGGUCAGCAUUAAUAUGCUGGGUGUAGAUCUUCUCCCUCCAAGACUCCAUACAUUCAGCGUCUUAAGAAGCAGACCCAGAGUUCCAGGGCACAGCCUCAGCAGCCCAAGGCCAGCUCCAAGGUCACUGGCCUUUCCUGAUUUGACCUUCACUUGGGAUCAAGUCUUCCUGAACCAGAAACAAGCUGAAUCCGAGAAGCCCAGGCAGGCUGUGCUGCUAGCAUCCUGUGUAUUUCGCUUCAUCUCUCCCCGUUACAGACCAGGAAUUCCAAAUUCCUAGCCCAAGGUCAGAGAGGUCUCACUGAUGCCUGUGUAGCCACGUGAGGAUGGGAAGUCUCAUUUGCCAGUAAGCACUACAGGAAGUGAUGGUUGAACACGAUGGGACUAAUAAGAAGGAAACGUAGUUAGAGUGAUCUUAUUCAUUUAAAAACAAAAGCAGCAACAAUACAGCAGUCGAGGAAAAGAAUCAAUUCUAUUUAAGCAAAGCAAUUUAAAGUAAUAAAAAAUGUUUCCAGCAUUAUUCUAUUUCAAAACAUUUAUCAGAUGCCAGGGAAAUUAAGCAUGUGCAAGCACACACACCACUCUGUGCAAACGGUUUAUCUAGCAAAACAAGCAGGCGGAAAAAAAAAAAAGGUCUGAGGAACUUCAAUUUUUAACUGCCAAGUGGAUCAAAGACACAAGCAACAGAAAAAGAAAUACACAAGUCUAAAUUUAGUCAUCUCUUAUACUGGUUAAGUCCUUUUUCAAAGUCUGUUGGCUGUUGCCUGGACACAGCUUUGGUGUGAAUGACUUUCAUCUGAGCCUCUAUCCUAAGGGUCAAGCUUAAGAUGCUGAUGGCAAGCAUGCUUGUUUGCUGUGUCCCUGAAGUCUCUGUUUGGCUGUUAAGGGGCAGGAAAAGCUCUCUGGAAGUUUUUGGACCUCAAGAAGUAGCUGAAAAGAGUCAAAGUGAUAGAGAAAAGACAGAGAAGAUGACAGGCAUUCAUACACAUACACUGAUUUAAACUUUUUUUUUUGAGACAGUCUCACUUUUUCACCUAGGCUGGAGUACAGUGGUGCGAUCUCGGCUCAUUGCAACCUCGGCCUCAUGGAUUCUCCUGCCUCAGCCUCCCUAGUAGCUGGGAUUACAGGCACACGCCACCACACUUGGCUAAUUUUUGUGUUUUUAGUAGAGAUGGGGUUUCACCAUGUUGGCCAGGCCGGUCUUGAACUCCUGACCUCAGGUGAUCUGCCCGCCUUGGCCUCCCAAAGUGCUGGGAUUACAGGCAUAAGCCACCGUGCCUGGCCUGAUUUAAACUUAAAAUACACAGGCUGACAGUUCUGCAAUAUUUGGUUUCUGCAACUUUGCUCUAUAAAACAAGGCUCUCUCAAUGACCAGUCUCACAAGAUUUCUACAAGGGGUAAAGUAUGAUAACGUUCUCUUCUAUAAAAAUAUUUUUUGUUUUUGUGAACAUAAAAUGUUUUUACAAAUCCAAAACAGCAUCAUAAA